RNAcentral lists this ribosomal RNA (490 nucleotides) under uncultured bacterium. RNAcentral describes it as "partial 16S ribosomal RNA". It matches the Rfam family "Bacterial small subunit ribosomal RNA", at positions 30 to 507 of the family's 1533-position model. The record is from RNAcentral.
AUUGAACGCUGGCGGCAGGCCUAACACAUGCAAGUCGAACGGUAACAGGAAGAAGCUUGCUUCUUUGCUGACGAGUGGCGGACGGGUGAGUAAUGUCUGGGAAACUGCCUGAUGGAGGGGGAUAACUACUGGAAACGGUAGCUAAUACCGCAUAACGUCGCAAGACCAAAAAGGGGGACCUUCGGGCCUCUUGCCAUCGGAUGUGCCCAGAUGGGAUUAGCUAGUAGGUGGGGUAACGGCUCACCUAGGCGACGAUCCCUAGCUGGUCUGAGAGGAUGACCAGCCACACUGGAACUGAGACACGGUCCAGACUCCUACGGGAGGCAGCAGUGGGGAAUAUUGCACAAUGGGCGCAAGCCUGAUGCAGCCAUGCCGCGUGUAUGAAGAAGGCCUUCGGGUUGUAAAGUACUUUCAGCGGGGAGGAAGGGAGUAAAGUUAAUACCUUUGCCCAUUGACGUUACCCGCAGAAGAAGCACCGGCUAACUCCGUG